RNAcentral lists this ribosomal RNA (1498 nucleotides) under uncultured Campylobacterota bacterium. Its description in RNAcentral is "bacterial SSU rRNA". It matches the Rfam family "Bacterial small subunit ribosomal RNA". Lineage: Bacteria; Pseudomonadati; Campylobacterota. The record is from RNAcentral.
GAGUUUGACCCUUGCUCAGGAUGAACGCUGGCGGCGUGCCUAAUACAUGCCCUUCGAACGAAGGUCUAGCUUGCUAGACCUUAGUGGCGAACGGGUGAGUAAUACAUAAAUAAUCUGCCCAUAUUUCUGGGAUAACUAUUGGAAACUUUAGCUAAUACCGGAUAGGUUGAUUGGAGGCAUCUCUGAUCAAUUAAAGUAGGAUUUCUACACAAAUGGAUGAGUUUAUGGCGCAUUAGUUAGUUGGUGGGGUAACGGCCUACCAAGACGAUGAUGCGUAGCCGACCUGAGAGGGUGACCGGCCACACUGGGACUGAGACACGGCCCAGACUCCUACGGGAGGCAGCAGUAGGGAAUUUUCGGCAAUGGGCGCAAGCCUGACCGAGCAACGCCGCGUGAGUGAUUAAGGCCUUCGGGUUGUAAAGCUCUGUUGUAAGGGAAGAACAUUCAGGAUAGGAAAUGAUCUUGAACUGACGGUACCUUACCAGAAAGCCACGGCUAACUACGUGCCAGCAGCCGCGGUAAUACGUAGGGUGCAAGCGUUACUCGGGAUCACUGGGCGUAAAGCGCAUGUAGGCGGUCUUGUAAGUUGGGUGUGAAAGCCUAUGGCUCAACCAUAGAACUGCACCCAAAACUACUAGACUAGAGUCUGGGAGAGGAAAAUGGAAUUAGUUGUGUAGGGGUAAAAUCCGUAGAGAUAACUAGGAAUACCAAAAGCGAAGGCAAUUUUCUGGAACAGUACUGACGCUCAGAUGCGAAAGCGUGGGUAGCAAACAGGAUUAGAUACCCUGGUAGUCCACGCCCUAAACGAUGAAUGUUAGUCGUCGGGAGGCUCGUCCUUUCGGUGAUGCAGCUAACGCAUUAAACAUUCCCGCCCUGGGGAGUACGGUCGCAAGAUUAAAACUCAAAGGAAUAGACGGGGACCCGCACAAGUGGUGGAGCAUGUGGUUUAAUUCGAAGAUACGCGAAGAACCUUACCUAGCCUUGACAUUGAUAGAAUCCGAUGGAAACAUUGGAGUGCCAGUUUACUGGAGCUUGAAAACAGGUGCUGCACGGCUGUCGUCAGCUCGUGUCGUGAGAUGUUGGGUUAAGUCCCGCAACGAGCGCAACCCUCGUCCUUAGUUACUAACGGUUCGGCCGAGGACUCUAAGGAGACUGCCUUCGUAAGGAGGAGGAAGGUGAGGACGACGUCAAGUCAUCAUGGCCCUUACGGCUAGGGCGACACACGUGCUACAAUGGAUAGGACAAUGAGACGCAAUACCGCGAGGUGGAGCAAAUCUAUAAACCUAUUCUCAGUUCGGAUUGUAGUCUGCAACUCGACUACAUGAAGCUGGAAUCACUAGUAAUCGUAGAUCAGCCAUGCUACGGUGAAUACGUUCCCGGGUCUUGUACUCACCGCCCGUCACACCAUGGGAGUUGAUUUCACCCGAAGCGGGGAAGCUAAACUGGCUACCCUCCACGGUGGAAUCAGCGACUGGGGUGAAGUCGUAACAAGGUAACC